AGCAACGCCGCGUGAGCGAAGAAGGUCUUCGGAUCGUAAAGCUCUGUUGUUAGGGAAGAACAAGUACCGUUCAAAUAGGGCGGUACCUUGACGGUACCUAACCAGAAAGCCACGGCUAACUACGUGCCAGCAGCCGCGGUAAUACGUAGGUGGCAAGCGUUAUCCGGAAUUAUUGGGCGUAAAGCGCGCGCAGGCGGUCCUUUAAGUCUGAUGUGAAAGCCCACGGCUCAACCGUGGAGGGUCAUUGGAAACUGGGGGACUUGAGUGCAGAAGAGGAGAGCGGAAUUCCACGUGUAGCGGUGAAAUGCGUAGAGAUGUGGAGGAACACCAGUGGCGAAGGCGGCUCUCUGGUCUGUAACUGACGCUGAGGCGCGAAAGCGUGGGGAGCGAACAGGAUUAGAUACCCUGGUAGUCCACGCCGUAAACGAUGAGUGCUAAGUGUUAGAGGGUUUCCGCCCUUUAGUGCUGCAGCAAACGC
RNAcentral lists this ribosomal RNA (478 nucleotides) under Ferdinandcohnia humi. Its description in RNAcentral is "bacterial SSU rRNA". It matches the Rfam family "Bacterial small subunit ribosomal RNA", at positions 390 to 858 of the family's 1533-position model. The record is from RNAcentral. Lineage: Bacteria; Bacillati; Bacillota; Bacilli; Caryophanales; Bacillaceae.